Molecule: long non-coding RNA, 886 nt
Organism: Bolinopsis microptera
Lineage: Eukaryota; Metazoa; Ctenophora; Tentaculata; Lobata; Bolinopsidae
Exons: 3
Source: RefSeq, a predicted model, not a curated record
GUGACCUUAAAAACAGGUCUUCCUUCGAGGUCUACAAGGUUUCCAGCAACAAGAAUGGUACAGGUAUUUUGGCGUACGGUUUGACAUGCCGAACAUUUGGCUGGAGUGGUCUGGUCCUGAGACUUGAAGAUUUGUACGUAGUGCCAGAAUACAGAGGACAAGGUGUUGGCAGGGCUGUACUGAUGCACUUAGCAAAGUUGAGCGUAGGAGCGGGGAUAUCUCGACUGGAAUUAAACUCAGCUACCGGAGCAAAAAAAUUCUACCUCGAGCUGGGUGGAAGACAUCAGUCAGACUUGACUAUAAUGCAGUUCAGUAGGGAUUCCAUCGCGAGUCUUGCCGGGAUCACCAACGGCAACUAAUCUUCUACUAAUUCUUCAGACUAAUUGAUAUUUGUUAUGGGCUGGAUAUUUAAUCUAUCGAUUCCAAAGUUUAGGGUCGCCAAUUUUCUAUGAUAUUUGUAAAUUGAAUCAUAAUUGCAGGGUUCAGACAGUCGUAGGUUUACACAAUAAAUUUGCUAAGUCAAGUCUGCACAAUUUUUUAAUCAGUUAAAUUGGACAUAAUACUUUUUGAACUUUGACACCAAUUCCCUUCCAACUAAGAACAAUUAAUUGCUUUCUCUGCAAUAUGAAAGCAUUUUCAAUGAUAGCUAACCCUAAUUGAUAUAUUAGGCAAGUCUUAUACCCAUUUCAUAAUGUCCAGACGGUUUAAUUCUAUGGGAAAUUCGGUCUUCAGACUUCCGGUAGGGACGUUGCUAGUGUUUGUUAUUGUGGUGAAUAACUUGGCCAAAUAUUUGCCCAAUUUCUUGUACACUUCUCACUGUCUGCUGCUUUGUUAUUUGAAUAUAAGAUUUAUGAAAUAUUUGGCAUUUGCCUAAUUCUAUUGUUGA